Molecule: long non-coding RNA, 1790 nt
Organism: Triticum dicoccoides
Lineage: Eukaryota; Viridiplantae; Streptophyta; Magnoliopsida; Poales; Poaceae
Exons: 5
Source: RefSeq, a predicted model, not a curated record
AUCUGCCAUUCUGUACCCACGACUACUCUUUCCCUCUCCCCUCUCGCCUCCGCCUUCCCUCCGACUUUUCCCUCGCCGAAAAACCAAUUCCAUGCUCCAGCAGCACGCAACCUCCUAUUCUCCAUUAUAGUAUUGCUCCCGCUAGGGUUCCAGCCGCCUCCAUGGAAUCCGCGGCCGUCUGCAGAUCCUUCACCAGCCGCCUUUUAGGUCCGCCUCGCCUCCCGCAGCCGGGAAUGCUUGGUCUCGGGCGCGUCUGGCCGCCUGCGCCGAGGGUUUGAGUUAUUGCAUGUGGUGGCACCAAGCAUGAGGCGACAACUGCAUUACUUGCAAGGAAGUUACAAAAUCUAUGGGUCAUCAUAAUCGUGACUUUCUUGCAAGUUGUGCAGUUGCUGUCUCAAGCUUGCUGACUCCGUUUGCCAGACCGCAAUGUGAAAUAGGAAAUUUAGUCAGCUCAACUGGCCCCGCAGCCGUGCCGGCAACUACUACAUGCAUCUAUGAUCACCAGGAAAUGCCUAAAUGAUCCAAUAAAUGGUUGAAUUGGGCCACUUAUGUCUUCUUAAAUAUGUUCAAGGAAAUUGGGAACGUAUUCUUAAUUUUGAGAACUUGUUUCCAGAUGUAAAACUUUAAUCGGAUAUCUCUAUACUUAAAAGGGUACUAGUGGAUUAAGGAUACAAGAGUGCAUCCUAAGUUGCAAUGGUUGUAUCCACGGGAAGAACAAUUAUGUGUCUACGAGAACCUCCAAUUGAUGCACCAUGUGAAGUCAUGUUGACAUUUUCUUUUCUCUUUGGUAAGGUUAUGGAAUAAAUUUUAUUUUCCCUAGUAUUGUGUUAGUGGUGUAUAUAUUCACUAAACAAGGUUCUUCCAUUCCUCUGUUUCCAUAUGCCGCUGCACCAUCAUCCACUGCCAUGCUGAGGUGGUGGAGAUUAGCAGGCAGCAGUCUUAAUGGCGUUGAUGGGGAGGUGUCUUCGCGGUGCUGAUGGGGAGGUUGAGACCUCGUGGAAUCCAUGUUCUCAGGCGGAGGCUAAGUUGGCGAUUUGUCACUGCAGUUGUGAAUCAGCAUAAGAGAUGGCACGCUUAGGUGCCGAGGGCCUCGCUAGAUCCAGAUGGAUUGUAGGAGCCGCAAUCUCGCUCGCCACUCUGCGGGGGUUUGUCAAGGUUGAUGGCGAGCCUCUACAGGGUGAUGUAGUGGCUUUUUUUUUUUGAAAAAACUCAGACUUUAUUCAUUUGUAAUAAGUAAUACAUCGUUUGUGAGGAUCAUUACAAUUUCAUUUAAGGGCUCCUCAAACCAAUCGGAAGUCAAAGAAAAUCUAGCUGGAAAUCAGGGUGAAUGGGUGAUGUAGUGGCUAGUCUGGAUGAAUAGGCAGAGGAAAGGCUGACGGGACGAAAUGACCCUCCUUACUUGAUCAGGUUAUGUAUGGUGUUCCUGGUGGUGGAGUUGGGCACAGUCUGAAACCGUCACAUGGAAGAAGUAUGGUUGUGGUGGGGUAAUGACAUGUUUAGCCCGACGAGCAGCCGAAUGGGGAAGGACGUGGCAGCCAAAGCAUUCACCUCCUAGUGCUGGUGACGGCCGGGGUGCUUGGUACUGGAGCGCCCGGACCAAGGUGUUGCAUUGAGCAUGUGUUGUAUACGUUGACAACAACGAUGAUGAUCUGACGCGUAGGGGUGGCGUCGAUGGCCACAUCCCGUACUUGCGCGGUGUCAGUGAGCACCCAUGUUGGUGCGGUAAUGGCGAAUGCCGUCGCCUCUUUUGUAAUGCCGAUCAUGAGCAAAAAGAGGGCAAAACGAAGCAG